RNAcentral lists this ribosomal RNA (433 nucleotides) under Escherichia coli. RNAcentral describes it as "partial 23S ribosomal RNA". It matches the Rfam family "Bacterial large subunit ribosomal RNA", at positions 807 to 1238 of the family's 2925-position model. Lineage: Bacteria; Pseudomonadati; Pseudomonadota; Gammaproteobacteria; Enterobacterales; Enterobacteriaceae. The record is from RNAcentral.
ACUUGUGGCUGGGGGUGAAAGGCCAAUCAAACCGGGAGAUAGCUGGUUCUCCCCGAAAGCUAUUUAGGUAGCGCCUCGUGAAUUCAUCUCCGGGGGUAGAGCACUGUUUCGGCAAGGGGGUCAUCCCGACUUACCAACCCGAUGCAAACUGCGAAUACCGGAGAAUGUUAUCACGGGAGACACACGGCGGGUGCUAACGUCCGUCGUGAAGAGGGAAACAACCCAGACCGCCAGCUAAGGUCCCAAAGUCAUGGUUAAGUGGGAAACGAUGUGGGAAGGCCCAGACAGCCAGGAUGUUGGCUUAGAAGCAGCCAUCAUUUAAAGAAAGCGUAAUAGCUCACUGGUCGAGUCGGCCUGCGCGGAAGAUGUAACGGGGCUAAACCAUGCACCGAAGCUGCGGCAGCGACACUAUGUGUUGUUGGGUAGGGGAGCG